UACGUAGGGGGCAAGCGUUGUCCGGAAUCAUUGGGCGUAAAGCGCGUGUAGGCGGCUCGGUAAGUCUGCUGUGAAAGUCCAGGGCUCAACCCUGGGAUGCCGGUGGAUACUGUCGAGCUCGAGUCCGGAAGAGGCGAGUGGAAUUCCUGGUGUAGCGGUGAAAUGCGCAGAUAUCAGGAGGAACACCAAUGGCGAAGGCAGCUCGCUGGGACAUGACUGACGCUGAGACGCGAAAGCGUGGGGAGCAAACAGG
Molecule: ribosomal RNA, 253 nt
Filed under: uncultured bacterium
Lineage: Bacteria
Description: partial 16S ribosomal RNA
Rfam family: Bacterial small subunit ribosomal RNA
Source: RNAcentral